GACGAACGCUGGCGGCGUGCUUAACACAUGCAAGUCGAACGAGAGCGUAGAGAAAGCUUGCUUUUUCUACAAUCUAGUGGCAAACGGGUGAGUAACGCGUAAACAACCUGCCCUACGGAUGGGGACAACAGCUGGAAACGGCUGCUAAUACCGAAUACGUUCCGAAAGUCGCAUGACUAUCGGAAGAAAGGAUGGCCUCUAUUUAUAAGCUAUCGCCGGAGGAGGGGUUUGCGUCUGAUUAGCUAGUUGGAGGGGUAACGGCCCACCAAGGCGACGAUCAGUAGCCGGUCUGAGAGGAUGAACGGCCACAUUGGGACUGCGACCCGGUCCAGACUCCUACGGGAGGCAGCAGUGGGGAAUCUUCCGCAAUGGGCGAAAGCCUGACGGAGCAACGCCGCGUGAGUGAAGACGGCCUUCGGGUUGUAAAGCUCUGUUAUACGGGACGAAUAAUCUUGUGGUUAAUACCCAUGAGAAGUGACGGUACCGUAAGAGAAAGCCACGGCUAACUACGUG
RNAcentral lists this ribosomal RNA (513 nucleotides) under uncultured bacterium. RNAcentral's name for it is "partial 16S ribosomal RNA". It matches the Rfam family "Bacterial small subunit ribosomal RNA", at positions 28 to 507 of the family's 1533-position model. The record is from RNAcentral.